CCUACGUGAGGCAGCAGUAGGGAAUCUUCCACAAUGGGCGAAAGCCUGAUGGAGCAACGCCGCGUGGGUGAAGAAGGUCUUCGGAUCGUAAAACCCUGUUGUUAGAGAAGCAAGUGCGUGAGAGUAACUGUUCACGUUUCGACGGUAUCUAACCAGAAAGCAACGGCUAAAUACGUGCCAGCAGCCGCGGUAAUACGUAGGUGGCAAGCGUUAUCCGGAUUUAUUGGGCGUAAAGGGAACGCAGGCGGUCUUUUAAGUCUGAUGUGAAAGCCUUCGGCUUAACCGGAGUAGUGCAUUGGAAACUGGGAGACUUGAGUGCAGAAGAGGAGAGUGGAACUCCAUGUGUAGCGGUGAAAUGCGUAGAUAUAUGGAAGAACACCAGUGGCGAAAGCGGCUCUCUGGUCUGUAACUGACGCUGAGGUUCGAAAGCGUGGGUAGCAAACAGGAUUAGAUACCCCUGUAGUC
This 465-nucleotide ribosomal RNA is filed under the name uncultured bacterium. Its description in RNAcentral is "partial 16S ribosomal RNA". It matches the Rfam family "Bacterial small subunit ribosomal RNA", at positions 338 to 795 of the family's 1533-position model. The record is from RNAcentral.